UACAUAAGAAUCAAUAAAAAUCAUUCAUUUAACAAAAUCAUUAUUAACCGAUAUAAUCGCAAUUGCCAAUUUUUGAAAUUGUCAGCAAAUCGUGUCACUAUGAUAAUGGCUCAAGUAAUUACGUUUGGUCACGGAGGAUAAUGUCAUUAUCCCAGAAUCAAUAAUAUUACAGAUAUUAUUUCUUUUUUGUAGCAGCAAAUUAUUAAUUAAUGAAAUAUAUAAUUGGUUUAUUUCUUUAUUUUUAUCUUCGCUUAUGUUUAAAACAAACUCUGUCUUGAAGAAAUAAUAAAAAAACAAAAACACAGCAAAAAGAUCGGAUGCAAAAAUAUCGCCGACAUAAAUGCAAAAUUAAUCGCACGAAAAUUUGCAAAUUAACAUUAUCACAUAUACUCGAUUAAAUCGUUCAAAUAAUUUGUAAAACGCUCAUAAAAUUUUUUACGCUCGUUUGCAAUCGAACGAAAUGUAAUAUUCAGUAUUAAUGUUUCCAGAGCGCGAUAUUGUUUCCUGUCGGCUUGUGUCGAUGUGUUUACCUGGGCGAUAGCGCACAACGCGGUUAGAUGGCUCAAUAACCAGCAAUGUAUGCUUCUGGUGACCCGCCUCGCAUCGAUCAUCCGCAUUCGACGAGAUAUCAUUUCCUCUCACUGAAACUUUCCUGAAAAUCUCGCCCACAGAUAGCGAUUGGACAGGUGUCAGCAACACAUUUCGCGCCAUCGAAAAAUCUUCUCGUAUCAUCAGGACACCUGCUCUUCGAUUACAUCAGAAAUUAGCCACACAGAUCAGAAUUCGAAUGGAUCUUCCCAAGGGAAAAACGAUGCAGCGACGCUGGCGACGUUUGAAGACAUCCCCAAUGGACAUUGGAAGAUUCAGCAAUACGCGCAAUCGGGCUUGCUGCCAAACCAAUUCAGCUGCAAUAAUAUUUGCAUAAACUGGAUUUGUCGUGUCUGAUUCAUAAAUCAUGCAGCGUAAUAACGACCGCCGAAGAAGCCGGCCUUUGAAGCAUGCAGUGCCGCUUGGUUCAGCAGCUGUACUGUAAACAAUGUUGUUGUUCUUACUGCAAUUCCCGCCUAGAAUGCCGUUCAAUCGGAUGUAUUUUUCGUGAUCGUCUCUAAACGGAGAACGGAAAGAAGAUCUUCAGAGCUUUUGGCUGCAGAACAGCGGCAAAACCAUCGAUCAUAUAGACGAAAGCUGUCGUCGUCACGUAGAUCGCAGUCGAACGACGGCAGGCGAGUCCUGUCGUGAGAAAAGGAGCUUCACGACGUUUUGCCGUUUCUUACAACUGACACGAAGAGCUGGAAUGAGGCAGUCGCUACCUAUAUAAACGGAAAAGCAAUCAACGGGAAACGAAGAGAGAAAAAUUGUCGUACAUUGAGAGUCUGCAACUGCUGUGCGCCGCACCCCGGCGCUCCUGAAUCAUUCAUCAUGGAACGCUCGCCGAUUUCGUAUCACUUUUCAUCGAAAUUACAUCUUUGAUCUCGCGACGGGAUCACGAUUGCAGUCUAGCUUUUUAAUUAAUUCAAAAUGGACGCGUUGAUAACGUUUCUAAAAUUAAUUCAUCGAGUAUAGCGUGAUCCAUCAUUCGCCCACGAGAAAAGAUUUAUCAUGUUGAAAAGUUCUCUAUCCCGAGUCAUUUAAUUUAUAAUUGUUAUGUACAUCUAUUACUUUAUUUGACAUCACCGUAA
This is a long non-coding RNA of Acromyrmex echinatior (Panamanian leafcutter ant), 1679 nucleotides long. The record is from RefSeq and is a predicted model, not a curated record. Lineage: Eukaryota; Metazoa; Arthropoda; Insecta; Hymenoptera; Formicidae.